RNAcentral lists this long non-coding RNA (222 nucleotides) under Gorilla gorilla gorilla (western lowland gorilla). RNAcentral describes it as "lncRNA (ENSGGOG00000044434.1)". The record is from RNAcentral. Lineage: Eukaryota; Metazoa; Chordata; Mammalia; Primates; Hominidae.
CGGAGUUCUGGGAAUCCCCUAACCCGGGGAGCUGCAGACGACUCACUGGCCCCGGGCCGCGGUUCCGCGGGUGGCCGCUGUACGCUUGAGACACCUGGUCCGCAGAAGUCAGGUGCCCUGGCAGGAGGGACUGGCUUACGCCACCCUGCGCAGGAUCAUCUUCUCAGCUUACAGAGCCUAGUGUGAUUCAACAACCCUCCAUCUCUGCCCACAACAUGCCCA